Long non-coding RNA from Bombus terrestris (buff-tailed bumblebee), 967 nucleotides. RefSeq lists it as uncharacterized. The record is from RefSeq and is a predicted model, not a curated record. The transcript has 2 exons. NCBI's taxonomy places the organism in Eukaryota, Metazoa, Arthropoda, Insecta, Hymenoptera, Apidae.
CAGAGCUCUGUGGAGUUGCGAGUUAUAGAUAUAUAGAUAUAUAGAUGUGCAGAGAAAUCGUGCACCAUCGCUCAAAGGUCUUGGGAAAAUUCUUAUUAUAGUAAUUGAAAAUUGGAAAAGAUUAAAAUACAUUAUGAAUAAUAAUGGCUCGAAGAAAUAAUAUUUACGCGAUAAAGAAAUUAUGCGUUACUAAUAUAUUAACGAUUUUAUCAGCGAUUUGAAAUUCGUAAUCUACGUCAAAUGACGCAAAAUUUUAUUAAAAGAAGUAGAUGUCCUAACAUCUUUGAGCGAAGUUCUUUGAGAUAGAUAAAGACAGGAUUUUCUAUAAGCGUUAGACGCGAAAUUUUUUAGUUAAUUCGCGAAAGCUGGAAUUUCGUAAUUUUCAUUCUCUUGUUGUCUUUGUUCUUCCUCGUUCAAUUUCGAACGAUUAGUGAUUGUUACAAUGCAGACCAAUUAUUAAACUACAUUAAAAAAUUAUCUGUAAUUAUAGAACGAAAUUUAAUGGACAAGUAAAGCAAUUAUUUCCUUGUAAAGGAAGAUAGAAACUGAUCUAAAGAAGCUGACGUACCUGACCUACAAGAACCUGACGCAGGUGCGUGCAUAGAGAAUGUAGCGGCGACAAUUAGUGACUCUUUGCGCUUUAUUUUACGACCUCAUUGCAUUGUUUCCAUUUACAAUUCUCUCCUUUAUCCUAACAGGUACACGAGUGUUUGAAAAUUACUACUAAGAAAACAGAAACCCGUUUCUUCGUCUCUACUGUAUUCAGCAACGAUAUGUUAAAGUUUGCAAUCAGGUAGCGAUCACACAAUGGCCCUUCGUAAUCUAACGCUCGUUAAAAAUCCCGUCUUAAGAACACUACGGUUAACGCAUUCGAUAAAGAAGAGGAUUACUCACUGUUCUUUGCGAAUGUUUCGAGGGCAAUCGUUCGGAUCUUCGCCGGGAAACGUUCGAGGAUGAGUCUGUAUGC